AUAAUUGUCAACUAGAUUUCCAGAAUGCAGGAUUUAGCCAUUUCUGAGACCUGAGAUUUCAAAAUCUACUCGGGAGAAUGCCCCCGGAAACUCCUAAUCAUAGUGUUAGAAGAUAGAAUCGCGAUGGGCUCCAAGUCAGAUUUUGCCCUGGGUGCUAGAUGUCCACAUUCCCCUGGCGAACCUUGGUGCUGUGCACUGUGCAGGCAGUGCAGUAUAUGUUGGUGAUGGCAUUUUUGAACAUCAAUUGUAGGCUGUUUUGUGGUUACACGUUAUGAAGGGUGUGUUCAGAAAAUUUCAAGGCGUGCUUUUGCUCGGCUAAACUUUGCACAAGAAUGUGCAGUGAUAAAAAAUUCUUAAAUUAGGUAUGCAAUAAUGAUCUCAACCAAUUAAGUUACACUAAGAAUAAUCAUCUGCAUAACAUAUAUAAAACUAAUGUUAUUAUACAUUUAGUAUGUAUUCUCGUUCCUGAUUGGUCAGGGAGCACCGGAUAAUUCUCAAUAUUCGGUACUUAUUACGUAAUUUCAGCUGCUGAGGUGCUCAGCGUCCAAUAAUAGUUUUUCUGGAUCGAACUUGCAUCCAAAAUAAAUAUUGGUCGCUGUCGCGCCCAAGUCCCGGCGCGGAGGGUCUCUGUAAAGAACGGAAACCGAAACGACCG
This is a non-coding RNA of Paramuricea clavata, 655 nucleotides long. Lineage: Eukaryota; Metazoa; Cnidaria; Anthozoa; Malacalcyonacea; Plexauridae. The record is from the annotation of a GenBank genome assembly.